This 207-nucleotide ribosomal RNA is filed under the name uncultured bacterium. Its description in RNAcentral is "partial 16S ribosomal RNA". It matches the Rfam family "Bacterial small subunit ribosomal RNA", at positions 568 to 774 of the family's 1533-position model. The record is from RNAcentral.
CUCGUAGGCGGUUCGUCGCGUCCGGUGUGAAAGUCCAUCGCUUAACGGUGGAUCCGCGCCGGGUACGGGCGGGCUUGAGUGCGGUAGGGGAGACUGGAAUUCCCGGUGUAACGGUGGAAUGUGUAGAUAUCGGGAAGAACACCAAUGGCGAAGGCGCCUUUCUGGACUGUGUCUGACGCUGAGAUGCGAAAGCCAGGGUAGCGAACG